UGGCGCAGCGGGAGCCCCGCCAACGUCCGAGCAGGGUGGGCGCUUGGAGAUGCUGGGGAGCGGCCCCCUUUGCCAGCCAACGGGAAGACUGAGGACAGGGCAGUCCAGGGACCAGCUUGAGAGAUCUCGGGUGGAAUUUUGGAUUUUUCUCUCAGCCUCUGCUGAGGGCUGGGACUCACAGAAUAAAGGGAAGAUGGCUUGUCCCCGUCCCACGGCGCCUCGACACCGUCGCUUAGAGGAUUCUCCAGCCUGUCUGUCUUUUUGGGGGGGGGGGGUUAACCGGGGAUCAAACUCAGGACCCCGAGCUUGUGAGGCAGGUGGGCGGCACCACUGAGCUAAAUCCUCCUGUGUCUCUUUUAGGACUGCACUUCCCAGCUAUGUAUGAGAGAUAACCAUUUUCCCUUUUGGGGUCCCAGUUCCUGGACAGUUCCAAGGGGUUGGCUCUCAAGAGGCCAUUCGUAGCCAGUAGUUAGGGAAAGCCCUUCCACCCCAUCAUCGGAACUCUCUCAAUAUGAUGGAGAGUGGCACACGGUUUAAAGAUGAUGGAAGCUAGGCUCCAACCCUCUUGCUGUCGCCUCCUCCUCCAGCCCUCCAACUCCCGGUGGGCUUCAGGUAGCUCUCAAACCUCUCCCACGCCUUCACCCCAUAACGGGCAAGCAGCCCCUUCCUGAGUGGAGGCCCGCGAGUGGGGGUGGCUCCUGAGGGUAGCCGCGUCUCCCAGACGUGGGGCGGGCAGACCCUACCCUUUUGCUUUGCGGGUGUCCCGUUGUCCCCAAAGGCAGGAUUCGGUGCUAGCCGGGAUUUCCCGGGGCACAGUUCCACUGGCCUGGGUUCGCUCUGUGAUCAUUCUUGGGCCGGUUCCUUACCCCUCGCUGGGCUUCCGGACGGAUCUCUGGGGUCUCCGAGGCUGCUUCUACCUUUAGGGUUCCGGGCCUUGAAGACGGCUCCGGAGACUCCAGACAGCCAGAGCUUUGGAGGGAGGCUGUGGGUGCAGGGCCGAGUGGAGGGUGCUUUGGGAGCUCGGGGUAUCCCAAGCGGAGGGUUCUGGCCUGAAAUGGGUGGCAUCGCCUUCUGAAGGUUUAGCCCCGUUUUUUUCAGAGAGCUAGGGCAGGCUCAGUCCCACCAGGUUGGGCUGCUGCCAUCGGAAGAAAGAGGUGAAGAGCAAAGAUCCUCGUUCCGCGGAGCAGACCUAGCGUUUGCUGUUUGCUUGACAAUCUUCCCCGGCGGAGGUGCUGGAAUGAACGAGUGGAGAUGGACUUUACAUCGCGGCACAAAACCCCUGACUGUCUUAUGAAGUGGUGCAACCUCGGAGCUUCUCAGAAGGCAACCGAACUUCAACGUGCUUUCUCACGGCAGAUUCACUUACACAUUGCAAGC
Heterocephalus glaber (naked mole-rat) is the source of this 1377-nucleotide non-coding RNA. The record is from RefSeq and is a predicted model, not a curated record. NCBI's taxonomy places the organism in Eukaryota, Metazoa, Chordata, Mammalia, Rodentia, Bathyergidae.